GUGGUCGUAGAUCAAUGGUAGAUCCCCAGAUUGUGGUUCUGGUUGUUGCGGGUUCGAGUCCCGUCGGCCACCCCA
Molecule: transfer RNA, 75 nt
Filed under: Verrucomicrobiota bacterium
Lineage: Bacteria; Pseudomonadati; Verrucomicrobiota
Also listed under: 2 other names
Description: Verrucomicrobia bacterium (freshwater metagenome) tRNA-His
Rfam family: tRNA
About the family: Transfer RNA (tRNA) molecules are approximately 80 nucleotides in length.
Source: RNAcentral